This 418-nucleotide ribosomal RNA is filed under the name uncultured bacterium. Its description in RNAcentral is "bacterial SSU rRNA". It matches the Rfam family "Bacterial small subunit ribosomal RNA", at positions 954 to 1364 of the family's 1533-position model. The record is from RNAcentral.
GCUAAACGCGAAGAACCUUACCUGGGCUUGAACUGUCGGUAUAGGGACCCGAAAGGGCGACGAUCCCGGGCAACCGGGAAGCCGAUAGAGGUGCUGCAUGGCUGUCGUCAGCUCGUGUCGUGAGAUGUUGGGUUAAGUCCCGCAACGAGCGCAACCCUUGUCUUUAGUUGCCAGCGAGUCAUGUCGGGCACUCUAAGGAGACUGCCUCGGAUAACGAGGAGGAAGGUGGGAUGGACGUCAAGUCAGCAUGGCCUUUAUGUCCAGGGCUACGACACGUGCUACAAUGGGCGGCACAGAAGGACGCGAGACCGCGAGGUCAAGCCAACCCUUAAACCGUUCUACAGUUCGGAUUGCAGGCUGCAAUUCGCCUGCAUGAAGUCGGAAUCGCUAGUAAUCGCGGAUCAGCUACGCCGCGGUG